UAGGGAAUCUUCGGCAAUGGGCGAAAGCCUGACCGAGCAACACCGCGUGUGCGAAGAAGGCCUUCGGGUUGUAAAGCACUUUUUGGAAGGAUUAGGAAGGAAUGUACUUCCAGAAUAAGUCUCGGCUAACUACGUGCCAGCAGCCGCGGUAACACGUAGGAGGCAAACGUUAUCCGGAUUUACUGGGCGUAAAGCGCGUGUAGGUGGUACUGUAAGUAGGGCGUGAAAGCUCCUGGCUCAACUGGGAGAGGCCGUUCUAAACUACAGAACUAGAGGAUGGUAGAGGGAGGUGGAAUUCCAGGUGUAGCGGUGGAAUGCGCAGAUAUCUGGAGGAACACCGGUGGCGAAGGCGGCCUCCUGGACCAUUCCUGACACUCAGACGCGAAAGCUAGGGUAGCAAACG
This 403-nucleotide ribosomal RNA is filed under the name uncultured prokaryote. RNAcentral describes it as "bacterial SSU rRNA". It matches the Rfam family "Bacterial small subunit ribosomal RNA", at positions 355 to 774 of the family's 1533-position model. The record is from RNAcentral.